UACGGGGGGAGCAAGCGUUGUUCGGAUUUACUGGGCGUAAAGGGCGCGUAGGCGGCCACCGCAAGUCGACUGUGAAAUCUCCGGGCUUAAUCCGGAAAGGUCAGCCGAUACUGCGGGGCUAGAGUGCAGAAGGGGCAACUGGAAUUCUCGGUGUAGCGGUGAAAUGCGUAGAUAUCGAGAGGAACACCUGCGGCGAAGGCGGGUUGCUGGGCUGACACUGACGCUGAUGUGCGAAAGCUAGGGGAGCGAACGGG
RNAcentral lists this ribosomal RNA (254 nucleotides) under uncultured bacterium. RNAcentral describes it as "partial 16S ribosomal RNA". It matches the Rfam family "Bacterial small subunit ribosomal RNA", at positions 524 to 776 of the family's 1533-position model. The record is from RNAcentral.